CUCAUGUAGCCAGCUUUCCACGAGGUCUCUACACAAUUGCACAUCAGUUCAAGCAACUGCAUUAGCACAGGAGUGCCGAGUCGUUCCAAAGAGAGAAGAGUGAGCCAAUAGCUACAGCUGGCAGCCAGGGAAGGGAAAAUGUGCUCUGAGCACUCAGUGAGUCACCCAAACAGACAGGAGGAAGCAUGUGCCAAUUGAGCCUGGAGGCUGCGCCAGAGCUCACACACUCAGCAAGGUCAGGAUUUGAAUAGAAGCUCUCUCACUCUUUCCACCGCCAGACUGUACCAAAUAAUGACUACUCCUGAAGCCUGGGUUCCAGCAGGAGAAGACACAUGGAGUGGAGCUGGGCAGAUGUCCAGCAGCCAUAGCCAACUCAUAGCCAAAGACCACAUUAUGAGUAAGGAAUAAAUGUUUGUUGUUUCAG
Molecule: long non-coding RNA, 424 nt
Filed under: Equus caballus (horse)
Lineage: Eukaryota; Metazoa; Chordata; Mammalia; Perissodactyla; Equidae
Description: lncRNA (ENSECAG00000050563.1)
Source: RNAcentral